RNAcentral lists this ribosomal RNA (356 nucleotides) under uncultured Glomeraceae. Its description in RNAcentral is "SSU rRNA". It matches the Rfam family "Eukaryotic small subunit ribosomal RNA", at positions 569 to 929 of the family's 1831-position model. Lineage: Eukaryota; Fungi; Glomeromycota; Glomeromycetes; Glomerales; Glomeraceae. The record is from RNAcentral.
AGCAGCCGCGGUAAUUCCAGCUCCAAUAGCGUAUAUUAAAGUUGUUGCAGUUAAAAAGCUCGUAGUUGAAUUUCGGGAUUAGUGCGCCGGUCGUGCCUUCGGUAUGUACUGGUGUUACUGGUUCCUACCUUCUGACGAACCGUCAUGUCAUUAAUUUGGUGUGGCGGGGAAUCAGGACUGUUACUUUGAAAAAAUUAGAGUGUUUAAAGCAGGCUCGCGCUUGAAUACAUUAGCAUGGAAUAAUGAAAUAGGACGUUCGAUCUUAUUUUGUUGGUUUCUAGGAUUGACGUAAUGAUUAAUAGGGAUAGUUGGGGGCAUUAGUAUUCAAUUGUCAGAGGUGAAAUUCUUGGAUUUAU